AUGUGGAGAUUCAACUAUUGAAU
RNAcentral lists this small nuclear RNA (23 nucleotides) under Arabidopsis thaliana (thale cress). Its description in RNAcentral is "snRNA_18926". The record is from RNAcentral. Lineage: Eukaryota; Viridiplantae; Streptophyta; Magnoliopsida; Brassicales; Brassicaceae.